RNAcentral lists this ribosomal RNA (595 nucleotides) under Lodderomyces parapsilosis. Its description in RNAcentral is "eukaryotic LSU rRNA". It matches the Rfam family "Eukaryotic large subunit ribosomal RNA", at positions 48 to 658 of the family's 3401-position model. The record is from RNAcentral. Lineage: Eukaryota; Fungi; Ascomycota; Pichiomycetes; Serinales; Debaryomycetaceae.
AAGCGGAGGAAAAGAAACCAACAGGGAUCGCCUUAGUAGCGGCGAGUGAAGCGGCAAAAGCUCAAAUUGGUAAAUCUGGCACUUUCAGUGUCCGAGUUGUAAUUUGAAGAAGGUAUCUUUGGGUCUGGCUCUUGUCUAUGUUUCUUGGAACAGAACGUCACAGAGGGUGAGAAUCCCGUGCGAUGAGAUGUCCCAGACCUAUGUAAAGUUCCUUCGAAGAGUCGAGUUGUUUGGGAAUGCAGCUCUAAGUGGGUGGUAAAUUCCAUCUAAAGCUAAAUAUUGGCGAGAGACCGAUAGCGAACAAGUACAGUGAUGGAAAGAUGAAAAGAACUUUGAAAAGAGAGUGAAAAAGUACGUGAAAUUGUUGAAAGGGAAGGGCUUGAGAUCAGACUUGGUAUUUUGUAUGUUACUCUCUCGGGGGUGGCCUCUACAGUUUACCGGGCCAGCAUCAGUUUGAGCGGUAGGAUAAGUGCAAAGAAAUGUGGCACUGCUUCGGUAGUGUGUUAUAGUCUUUGUCGAUACUGCCAGCUUAGACUGAGGACUGCGGCUUCGGCCUAGGAUGUUGGCAUAAUGAUCUUAAGUCGCCCGUCUUGAA